This 343-nucleotide unclassified non-coding RNA is filed under the name soil metagenome. RNAcentral describes it as "partial contains 5.8S ribosomal RNA, internal transcribed spacer 2, and large subunit ribosomal RNA". The stretch from base 1 to 120 matches the Rfam family "5.8S ribosomal RNA", at positions 35 to 154 of the family's 154-position model. The record is from RNAcentral.
GAUGAAGAACGUAGCGAAAUGCGAUAAGUAAUGUGAAUUGCAGAAUUCAGUGAAUCAUCGAAUCUUUGAACGCACAUUGCGCCCGCUAGUAUUCUGGCGGGCAUGCCUGUCCGAGCGUCAUUUCAACCCUCAAGCCCCCGGGCUUGGUGUUGGGGAUCGGCGAGCCUCCGCGCCCGCCGUCCCCUAAAUCUAGUGGCGGUCUCGCUGUAGCUUCCUCUGCGUAGUAGCACACCUCGCACUGGGAAACAGCGCGGCCACGCCGUUAAACCCCCAACUUCUGAACGUUUGACCUCGGAUCAGGUAGGAAUACCCGCUGAACAUAAGCAUAUCAAUAAGCGGAGGA